Molecule: ribosomal RNA, 500 nt
Filed under: uncultured bacterium
Lineage: Bacteria
Description: partial 16S ribosomal RNA
Rfam family: Bacterial small subunit ribosomal RNA
Source: RNAcentral
AUUGAACGCUGGCGGAAUGCUUUACACAUGCAAGUCGAACGGCAGCACGGACUUCGGUCUGGUGGCGAGUGGCGAACGGGUGAGUAAUGUAUCGGAACGUGCCCAGUCGGGGGGGAUAACGUAGCGAAAAUUACGCUAAUACCGCAUACGAUCUGUGGAGGAAAGCGGGGGAUCGCAAGACCGCGCGCGCUUGGAGCGGGCGAUAUCAGAUUAGGUAGUUGGUGGGGUAAAGGCACACAAAGCCAACGAUCUGUAGCUGGACUGAGAGGACAACCAGCCACACUGAAACUGAGACACGGUCCAGACUCCUACGGGAGGCAGCAGUGGGGAAUUUUGGACAAUGGGCGAAAGCCUGAUCCAGCCAUUCCGCGUGCAGGAUGAAGGCCCUCGGGUUGUAAACUGCUUUUGUACAGAACGAAAAGGUUUCUACUAAUACUAGGAGCUCAUGACGGUACUGUAAGAAUAAGCACCGGCUAACUACGUGCCAGCAGCCGCCGUAA